AUUGAACGCUGGCGGCAUGCCUUACACAUGCAAGUCGAACGGCAGCACGGGUGCUUGCACCUGGUGGCGAGUUGCGAACGGGUGAGUAAUACAUCGGAACAUGUCCUGUAGUGGGGGAUAGCCCGGCGAAAGCCGGAUUAAUACCGCAUACGAUCUACGGAUGAAAGCGGGGGCCCUCCGGGCCUCGCGCUGUUGGGUUGGCCGAUGGCUGCUUAGCUAGUGGGCGGGGUAAAGGCCUACCAAGGGUACGACCAGAAGCGGGUACGAGAGGGAGACCAGCCAGCCUGGCUGUGAGAAACGGCCCCGACUCCUACGGGAGGAAGCAGUGGGGAAUUUUGGACAAUGGACGAGAGCCUGAUACAGCAAUGCCGCGUGUGUGAAGAAGGCCUUCGGGUUGUAAAGCACUUUUGUCCGGAAAGAAAUACUUGGCCCUAAUACGGUCGGGGGAUGACGGUACCGGAAGAAUAAGCACCGGCUAACUACGUG
RNAcentral lists this ribosomal RNA (486 nucleotides) under uncultured bacterium. RNAcentral describes it as "partial 16S ribosomal RNA". It matches the Rfam family "Bacterial small subunit ribosomal RNA", at positions 29 to 507 of the family's 1533-position model. The record is from RNAcentral.